Molecule: ribosomal RNA, 496 nt
Filed under: uncultured bacterium
Lineage: Bacteria
Description: partial 16S ribosomal RNA
Rfam family: Bacterial small subunit ribosomal RNA
Source: RNAcentral
GAUGAACGCUGGCGGCGUGCCUAAUACAUGCAAGUCGAGCGAACAGACGAGGAGCUUGCUCCUCUGACGUUAGCGGCGGACGGGUGAGUAACACGUGGAUAACCUACCUAUAAGACUGGGAUAACUUCGGGAAACCGGAGCUAAUACCGGAUAAUAUAUUGAACCGCAUGGUUCAAUAGUGAAAGACGGUUUUGCUGUCACUUAUAGAUGGAUCCGCGCCGCAUUAGCUAGUUGGUAAGGUAACGGCUUACCAAGGCGACGAUGCGUAGCCGACCUGAGAGGGGGAUCGGCCACACUGGAAAUGAGACACGGCCCAGACCCCUACGGGAGGCAGCAGGAGGGAAUUUGCCGCAAGGGGCGAAAGCCUGACGGAGCAACGCCGCGGGAGUGAUAAAGGUCUUCGGAUCGUAAAACUUUUUUUUUAGGGAAGAAAAAAUGUGUAAGUAACUAUGCACGUCUUGACGGUACCAAAGCAAAAAGCCCCGGCUAACUACGU